AAUAUUGGUCAUGCUCGCAUGNGUGCANCUAGCUAGCUGCAUCNCAAAUCACCAAAUNGUGCUUAGUUGUGAUCAACGUAAGGUGAAAAAAAAUGAUAUUACCCUUACUAUAAGUGUUGUCUAAAUAACUGGUGCCAGAAGACUCGGUAACACCAGAAACGCGAACGUUAGUCGUCUUAAACAGGCGUAAAGGGUAAGUAGGCUGCUUUAAAGUCUAUUUUAWAUUAAGCUAAUUAUUAAUAUCCCGCUUGCUGCGGAAGCAGCUACUACAAAUUUUCAGAUCUUAAUUAACAAAUUAAGGCUAACUUAAAAUGAAAAAAGGGAAUUCUUAGUUUCUCCUUCUCUCUAACUCCUACUUACGUUUUCCUACUCCUUCGGAGCAAAGGGUGAGGGGGACUAAUAAUAUUAUUUAUUAAAAUUUAUUUAAGAAAUAGAUACACUUAAAGCUAGAAUCAUAAUUGAGAUAAACCAAAUAAUACUUAUGUGUAAGGGCGAAAUCUGAAAAUACUAAGUAGAAUACUAACGGUGAAAACUCUUUAUCUGGUAAUGAUUGACGCUGAGGUACGAAAGUGAGAACAGGGAAUAGGAUUAGAUACCCAGUUACCUCUCACCGUCAACGAUGAAUGGAAGUUGUUAGUUUAAUUAAAUUAGUGACGAUGUUAACGCGAUAUCAUUCCGCCUGAGAGUACGGUGCAUAAACUGAACCCAAAAAUAGUCGGUAUCGGAGCCAAACG
This 734-nucleotide ribosomal RNA is filed under the name Inocybe pruinosa. RNAcentral describes it as "16S ribosomal RNA". It matches the Rfam family "Bacterial small subunit ribosomal RNA", at positions 360 to 931 of the family's 1533-position model. The record is from RNAcentral. Lineage: Eukaryota; Fungi; Basidiomycota; Agaricomycetes; Agaricales; Inocybaceae.